GGAACGGUAAUUUAGAAGGUUAAAAUGUUGAUCUGUCACGUCAAGUAGCGCGGGUUCAAAUCCCGUCCGUUUCG
RNAcentral lists this transfer RNA (74 nucleotides) under Candidatus Carsonella ruddii. RNAcentral describes it as "tRNA-Asp". It matches the Rfam family "tRNA". Rfam says of the family: Transfer RNA (tRNA) molecules are approximately 80 nucleotides in length. Their secondary structure includes four short double-helical elements and three loops (D, anti-codon, and T loops). Further hydrogen bonds mediate the characteristic L-shaped molecular structure. tRNAs have two regions of fundamental functional importance: the anti-codon, which is responsible for specific mRNA codon recognition, and the 3' end, to which the tRNAs corresponding amino acid is attached (by aminoacyl-tRNA synthetases). tRNAs cope with the degeneracy of the genetic code in two manners: having more than one tRNA (with a specific anti-codon) for a particular amino acid; and 'wobble' base-pairing, i.e. permitting non-standard base-pairing at the 3rd anti-codon position. Lineage: Bacteria; Pseudomonadati; Pseudomonadota; Gammaproteobacteria; Oceanospirillales; Halomonadaceae. RNAcentral also lists the same sequence under 1 other name. The record is from RNAcentral.